GGAUAGAAACGUAGGAUAUUAUUUUUCACAAAUCACAACUACAACAUUAUCGUAUCUAUGUAAAUAGACCAGUUUAACACCCCCAAGGUUUGAUACAAAAGUAAAGCUAUUCGAUUACCCACUAACUAAGCUUCUAUUUAUAAAACUGGGGUUUACUAUUACAAUACCAUACUUCUCAAUAUCUCGGGGGUGAGCUGUCACCCUACAUCCAGUCUUGACGGAAAACCCGUCAUCACUUGGAAUGAGAUAGCGAGAAUCCUAUUCCUCUUUUACUGCGACUGACUGUACACGAUCCAGCCUUCCUCCAUUUAGGGACCUGAAAAUGUUAGCCCACUAAGGGGUGAGAUCACAUCUCAGCGAGUAAAUCCCCUAAUUCUAGAUUAGGAGAAGGGUACAUCCUACAUGCAAUCUAAUCACGUUUCUCAUAUUUUCUUAAUACUAGUGCUUUCCUGCCUAUUAGUGUAAAUCAAAUCAUGCAUAAAAUAUCGAAAUCAUAUAUCAUCGGAAUAUUUUUAACAUAUACAGAUGUAAGGACAUAAAUGUCACAUAAUUGCACGGGCCCCAAUUACCAGACUAAUCCAUUGUAGUACGUCCCAUACCGCACCACACAGUUCCGUCUUUUAAUUAGGUCCCUCACUUUCACCCAUUCAUGUGUCACAAAUUGAUUUCAAUGCACAGAUAACAGUCUUCCGGCAUCACCGAGCAUCGCCUCACACCAUCGAGCGCGGCAUCGUCUACAUCUAGACGGCAUUCCAUAUAGGAGCAUCGGUCCAGCCUCCACUGCGACCGGCAUCCGUUGACGUGGGGCAUUCCCGAAGGAGCAUCGUCUGGCCCAACGGCACGUGACGGAAUCAUGUCGUGAAUGCAUAUGAUUGAUGUCACAUUUCAAUAAUCAAUUAUAUACAGCAUCCACAGCAUCAAUUGAGCAAUUUCGUAACAAGAAUACUUCAAAACAACCAUACAUUCUUACUAGCCCAAAUUCACAAAAAACUGUCCAAUUACGUUCUCCCAAAUUCGAAGUAAGAAACCAACUCAUAUGAGCUCGAAAAAUUCUCAAAUUUGGACACGUGUUAGAAAACACACAAAAAAACAUUUUUCAUGAAAACACCGAGAUCCAAAUCUCUCUGGAUUCGGCCCAGAAAUUCUUUCUAUCCAGCACAAAAAUCGGAUCCAGUUCCAGAGAGCCAAACCCAUCGAAAUCAGUUCGUUUUUUGGGUCGAAACAUGCUUCGUUUGACUUGAAAUUAAGUAUGUUAAACUAAAAUUUAUAAAAAACAACUUUCGUGAAGGAACCAAUUGGAAAUUCGACCUCUAAAGGUCAUUAACAGCCCUCGGAAUCAUAAUAGGUCACGGAUUACAAAACUGUCCGAUUACUGUUCCGAGGAUGACGUCAUUAAAAUCGUCAUCUUUUUAAUUUCUAAAAAUUAAGAGAAAAAUAUAUGUUAUUAUUUAAGAUGUUCACAACGUUUCUUCAGAACAAAAUUCUUUCAAAAUCACAACACAAAGUUGUCUACAAAAUUAGCAAAACAUACACGUUCUAGAAACUGUUUCAAUAAUCAACUACUGUUCUAGUCCGAAUCUUCCACCACGACUUUUGUUUUGCUCUCUAAGCCUUAUCUAAGCUUUUCUAUGUCUAUCAUAAUGUCCCUAACCAACAUCUAUCCAUAUAUAACGCCAUCUACAUAUUUUUAACUUGUACAAAUUCCUAGUAGAGGUACUCAACCCAUAGUCCAGAUUUAGGAGACAACUCACCUAAUCACAGCUAACGGCGGCUCUCGUUGGUGCUUGAACAGCAACACAGAGAUCAGCCUUGAUCCUCUUGGUGAUGAUGUUGAGCCGAAACCGCAGAAGAUUGUGAUGUGGUAUGAUGGCAACGGCAACACACAAACUUAUAAAUUUUUCGGUAGAGGAAACUAAGUAUGGAGUUUGGUCGGUUGUGCGGUUCUUGUGCGGGUGAGGGGGGUUUUUCCUCACUGAAACUAUACGACUUAUAUUUAAAAACCAUGGUGGUAGGUGGUUGUCGUUUAUGUGGGUCCAAGAAUUUUUGAUAACGUCACGUUCACGUCUUGGUUUGUUUUGUUUCUUAGUCUCCGGUUUGUCGUUCAAGAGGGAGCAAAAAUGGAAGUAGCACGUUCAAGGGGAAAGAAAACAAUGGCUUGUACGUUGAAAAAGACAAGGAAGAAG
RNAcentral lists this long non-coding RNA (2183 nucleotides) under Eucalyptus grandis. RNAcentral describes it as "long non-coding RNA (EGRA_LNC004457)". The record is from RNAcentral. Lineage: Eukaryota; Viridiplantae; Streptophyta; Magnoliopsida; Myrtales; Myrtaceae.